This 113-nucleotide ribosomal RNA is filed under the name Acanthosepion pharaonis. Lineage: Eukaryota; Metazoa; Mollusca; Cephalopoda; Sepiida; Sepiidae. The record is from RNAcentral.
UACAGCCAUAUGAUGUUGAAACACCGGUUCUCGUACGAUUACUGAUGUUAAGCAACGUCGAGCCUGGUCAGCACCUUGAUGGGUGACCGCUUGGGAAUAUCAGGUGCUGUAAG